RNAcentral lists this long non-coding RNA (781 nucleotides) under Phoenix dactylifera (date palm). Its description in RNAcentral is "long non-coding RNA (PDAC_LNC018210)". The record is from RNAcentral. Lineage: Eukaryota; Viridiplantae; Streptophyta; Magnoliopsida; Arecales; Arecaceae.
GGAAACUCUCCCCACGAGCAUGCAAGGCAUCUUCACCAAACAUCUCAAUUUUAUAAAUCUAAAUUAAUUUAACUGAAUAAAUGCAAUCUUAUUCCAUUGACUGAUUCAAGUCAUAAGGUCUCACAGUUCUAAAUACGCAGCGGAACAAUAAUUGACCAACAUGCAAAAACCUAAUUCUUAAAAUGACAAAACCUUGCAAAGUCCAAUAAUCAUGAUAAAUGUCCAUAAUAAUCAAUUCAACUUAAAUAACCCUAAUCUAAGAUAAUUUGGGCCACAAUUCUUCUAGUCGCUCUCCCAUUUUGAAUCCCCAAUAGUCUAGUUCUCGGAAUCUGUAAAACAACAAGAGAUGGUAUAAUGAGCUAAACAGCCCCUAGUAAGUAAUGAACACUCUAACUAGAUAAAUCAAGCAGUAAUAUGUGGAAAAUAAAUAUAAAUACAGUUCCAAAGUACAAGUCAAAUAUGUCUUAAAUUCAUAAGAUUCUUUUGAAUGUUUCGAAAUUCUUUCACAUAUUCAAUUCAUCUUAUCGAUCCUGGACUAUGACCACAUGUUCCCUGUGGCAGGGUCAUCAACACCGACUAAUCUUCUUGCGGUGAGUCCUUCAGGACAGUCAAUUGCCAACGUAUCUGCCCCCAUUGGCAGGGUCCUCAACAUAGCCAGGUCGAAGUUCAGUUUGUUCUCUAUAAGUCUAUUUCAUAUUUCAGUUAUAUAAAAACAACAUACAGUGUCAAAACUAAAUGUCGUUCAUAUCUCAAUUUCUUUUAAUUUAUCAGAUUCAACUCA